UGUGAGUUAAUCGUUAGUUAAGUUCAAAAAAAAAAAAAAGAAAUUGUCAGUUUUCAGUUUGCUCUUGUUCGAAUUCCGUUUAUUACCCGUUCGUUGAUACUUGCUGUUUUUGUCACUUCUUUUGCAUCCGCAGAUGGAGAACAACGCCGAAGCUCCCUUGGACCCUAUUGCAGCCACAUUAGCUGCUAUCCAAGCCACUCUCCAAACGUUUGGAGACCGCAUGACCCGUCUCGAGCAACC
Molecule: long non-coding RNA, 240 nt
Filed under: Capsella rubella
Lineage: Eukaryota; Viridiplantae; Streptophyta; Magnoliopsida; Brassicales; Brassicaceae
Description: long non-coding RNA (CRUB_LNC003995)
Source: RNAcentral